GAAAGGGAAACAGCCCAGACCACCAGCUAAGGUCCCAAAAUAUAUGUUAAGUGGAAAAGGAUGUGGCGUUGCCCAGACAACUAGGAUGUUGGCUUAGAAGCAGCCAUCAUUUAAAGAGUGCGUAAUAGCUCACUAGUCGAGUGACACUGCGCCGAAAAUGUACCGGGGCUAAACAUAUUACCGAAGCUGUGGAUUGUCCUUUGGACAAUGGUAGGAGAGCGUUCUAAGGGCGUUGAAGCAUGAUCGCAAGGACAUGUGGAGCGCUUAGAAGUGAGAAUGCCGGUGUGAGUAGCGAAAGACGGGUGAGAAUCCCGUCCACCGAUUGACUAAGGUUUCCAGAGGAAGGCUCGUCCGCUCUGGGUUAGUCGGGUCCUAAGCUGAGGCCGACAGGCGUAGGCGAUGGAUAACAGGUUGAUAUUCCUGUACCACCAUUAUUCGUUUUAAGCGAUGGGGGGACGCAGUAGGAUAGGCGAAGCGUGCUGUUGGAGUGCACGUCCAAGCAGUGAGAUUGAGUGUUAGGCAAAUCCGGCACUCUUAAGAUUGAGCUGUGAUGGGGAGAGGAACUUGUUCCUCGAGUCGUUGAUUUCACACUGCCGAGAAAAGCCUCUAGCUAGAAUAACGGUGCCCGUACCGCAAACCGACACAGGUAGUCAAGAUGAGAAUUCUAAGGUGAGCGAGCGAACUCUCGUUAAGGAACUCGGCAAAAUGACCCCGUAACUUCGGGAGAAGGGGUGCUCUUUGAGGUUCACGCUUCGAAGAGCCGCAGUGAAUAGGCCCAAGCGACUGUUUAUCAAAAACACAGGUCUCUGCUAAACCGUAAGGUGACGUAUAGGGGCUGACGCCUGCCCGGUGCUGGAAGGUUAAGAGGAGUGGUUAGCGCAAGCGAAGCUACGAAUCGAAGCCCCAGUAAACGGCGGCCGUAACUAUAACGGUCCUAAGGUAGCGAAAUUCCUUGUCGGGUAAGUUCCGACCCGCACGAAAGGCGUAACGAUUUGGGCACUGUCUCAACGAGAGACUCGGUGAAAUCAUAGUACCGGUGAAGAUGCCGGUUACCCGCGACAGGACGGAAAGACCCCGUGGAGCUUUACUGUAGCCUGAUAUUGAAAUUCGGUACAGUUUGUACAGGAUAGGUAGGAGCCUUAGAAGCGUGAGCGCUAGCUUACGUGGAGGCAUUGGUGGGAUACUACCCUAAUUGUAUUGGAUUUCUAACCCGCAGCACUUAUCGUGCUGGGAGACAGUGUCAGGCGGGCAGUUUGACUGGGGCGGUCGCCUCCUAAAGAGUAACGGAGGCGCUCAAAGGUUCCCUCAGAAUGGUUGGAAAUCAUUCAUAGAGUGUAAAGGCAUAAGGGAGCUUGACUGCGAGACCUACAAGUCGAGCAGGGUCGAAAGACGGACUUAGUGAUCCGGUGGUUCCGCAUGGAAGGGCCAUCGCUCAACGGAUAAAAGCUACCCCGGGGAUAACAGGCUUAUCUCCCCCAAGAGUUCACAUCGACGGGGAGGUUUGGCACCUCGAUGUCGGCUCAUCGCAUCCUGGGGCUGUAGUCGGUCCCAAGGGUUGGGCUGUUCGCCCAUUAAAGCGGUACGCGAGCUGGGUUCAGAACGUCGUGAGACAGUUCGGUCCCUAUCCGUCGUGGGCGUAGGAAAUUUGAGAGGAGCUGUCCUUAGUACGAGAGGACCGGGAUGGACAUACCUCUGGUGUACCAGUUGUCGUGCCAACGGCAUAGCUGGGUAGCUAUGUAUGGACGGGAUAAGUGCUGAAAGCAUCUAAGCAUGAAGCCCCCCU
This 1783-nucleotide ribosomal RNA is filed under the name Staphylococcus pseudintermedius. RNAcentral's name for it is "partial 23S ribosomal RNA". It matches the Rfam family "Bacterial large subunit ribosomal RNA", at positions 1013 to 2799 of the family's 2925-position model. Lineage: Bacteria; Bacillati; Bacillota; Bacilli; Caryophanales; Staphylococcaceae. The record is from RNAcentral.